ACUGACGGAGCCACCCAGGCGCCCCUGGCUUCUAUUCCAAGUGAGUUGAGAAGAUGUCACGGGGCUGUAUGGCCCACCAAGCCCACAGUAUUUCCCAUCUGGCCCUUCACGGAUAAAGCCUGCCGACCCCUGGCCUGGGCCCGGUGAUGGUGGGGGGCUGAUGACAAGUGGCCGCAUUCCAGCCGUACCGCGAAGGCUGAGCCGCAAGGUUCGCUGACUUGGACACGAGACGUGAGAGAACACGCAGAGCCAGAGCCUCGGGGCUCGGUGAUGAGAAGGCGGGAAGUGCCGUUAACCGGAGGGGGGACACGCGGUUUGAGGGCAGUCUGGAGCUCGGGUCAGGACAUUAUUAAGUCUGAAAUGCCCAUUAAACGGCCCCACGGAGAGCUCCAGCUCACUGAGAGACCACAUAAGGUGGGGGGGCCGGGGGCGACGUGGAACCUUCACAAGCCUGUUCUGCUGACUGAGAAGUUCCCGUUCAUUCUCUCGGGAAGUGCUUACCGAGCCCCUCGACGUGCUGGGCCCUUGCUAGGGGCUGGGCUUGAUGAAUAGAGAGACCUAUGUGUGACAGUAGUGUGCCGGGCAGUGUUCCCAGUGCUGGGACAGAAUGGUGAGCACAGCUGAGAGAGGCCAUGCUCCUCGACUGGUCCUGUUCACACUCAAGGGGAACGUGGGCAAAGCACCUAUCACGUAACAUGAGGUUGGGACAUACCAGGUGCUGUGAAGAGAGCCUGGCAGGGGACCCAGAGCACCAGAGGAAGUGGUCAGGGAAAGCCACUCUAAGGAAGUAUUAUCUGAGCCAUAGCCAGAAAGAAGCCGAAGGGAGGACCGGCCUGAGGCUCCCUGUGGGAAGUGCAAAGGCCCUGAGGCAGCAGUGAGUUUGGCAGUGCUCUGGAACAUCCAGCGGGAACAGAAUGGUCUUGAGCAGCUGAGGAGGCUGGAGUGCACGGAGGCCCAGACCAGCACUUUGGGAAGUCGCUGGAGUGCCACCACCUGCUUUGGUUUUGAGAAAGAGCCCUCCCGCUGCCACUGCUGGGAGCAAGCAUGGAAGCAGACACAGCAGUGAGUCUCAGAAACAACCCAGGCCAGAGACCUCAGUGGGGCUUGGACUAGGGCAGAGGUGACAAGUGGUAAAAAAGACACUCUAGUUCCUGGAUCCUGAGACACCACUGAUUGAGACCAAGCUGCCAAUUUGGGGGGGGGGGGGGGGGUCGGGGAGUGGAGAACUUUCUAUAUAAACAUGACAUGUAUAUAUAUCAAUCAUAA
Molecule: long non-coding RNA, 1266 nt
Organism: Leopardus geoffroyi (Geoffroy's cat)
Lineage: Eukaryota; Metazoa; Chordata; Mammalia; Carnivora; Felidae
Exons: 2
Source: RefSeq, a predicted model, not a curated record